GCCUACGGACGCAGCAGUGAGGAAUGUUGGUCAAUGGGCGCAAGCCUGAACCAGCCAAGUCGCGUGAGGGAUGACGGUCCUAUGGAUUGUAAACCUCUUUUGUCGGGGAGCAAGGCCCGCCACGUGUGGCGGGAAGGAGAGUACCCGAAGAAAAAGCAUCGGCUAACUCCGUGCCAGCAGCCGCGGUAAUACGGAGGAUGCGAGCGUUAUCCGGAUUUAUUGGGUUUAAAGGGUGCGUAGGCGGUCUGUUAAGUCAGCGGUCAAAGCCCGGGGCUCAACCCCGGCCCGCCGUUGAAACU
Molecule: ribosomal RNA, 299 nt
Filed under: uncultured bacterium
Lineage: Bacteria
Description: partial 16S ribosomal RNA
Rfam family: Bacterial small subunit ribosomal RNA
Source: RNAcentral